UACGUAGGGGGCAAGCGUUGUCCGGAAUCAUUGGGCGUAAAGAGCGUGUAGGCGGCUCGAUAAGUCUGCUGUGAAAUCCCUCGGCUUAACCGGGGAACUGCGUCUGAUACUGGUUGGCUUGAAUCCGGGAGAGGGAUGUGGAAUUCCAGGUGUAGCGGUGAAAUGCGUAGAUAUCUGGAGGAACACCGGUGGCGAAGGCGGCAUCCUGGACCGGUAUUGACGCUGAGGAGCGAAAGCCAGGGGAGCAAACGGG
Molecule: ribosomal RNA, 253 nt
Filed under: uncultured bacterium
Lineage: Bacteria
Description: partial 16S ribosomal RNA
Rfam family: Bacterial small subunit ribosomal RNA
Source: RNAcentral